This is a long non-coding RNA of Solea senegalensis (Senegalese sole), 1075 nucleotides long. RefSeq lists it as uncharacterized. The transcript has 6 exons. The record is from RefSeq and is a predicted model, not a curated record. Lineage: Eukaryota; Metazoa; Chordata; Actinopteri; Pleuronectiformes; Soleidae.
GUCCUGAAGUCAAUGACACAGUAUUUUCAUGGUUAUUUCAACGGCGCAUUAGACGUGCCCACAUAGGAAUAUCAUCGCUGUUGCGGACUUGCCCCGCAUGCAUACUGCCGUACGGGCAGGCUACAAUUUACAGGGGAAUUUCAGGACAGAGCCUUUACUUGCAUUUCAGUGAAUGAGAGGACUUUGAUGAAAUUGUGGCACUCGUCCUUCAGGGAACACAAGCCAGAAGAGGAAGACAGGAGAAAAAGACAACAUGUCCACGUCUCCUUGUCUGGACUUCCAUGUCAUUUUCUGGGUGGGACGAAAAAGUAGAUGGACGUUGGAGAAGCGAAUGAGAGCAAGAGAAGAGGACAAAUAAGUGUGUGGACGUGGCUGGAUGUUGCAUGGCGCUGUGAGGGGAGCAAGAGUAGGCAACCGUGUAAUCCCCAUCAUUAGUGGGUUUUAACAGGAUUUGGCGCAACUAUAAUAAUGGAGACUCCAGUGGCCUCCACUGCGAGGCCCAAAAAGACGCGACAGGGAAGAACAGCAGCCACAAUGGCACGACUGUUCCACAGGACUCAACUUAUGGAAGAUUCAAAGAGUGGUGUAAACAGAGUGCAGUUGGUGUUACCAUGGUAAAGGGCGACUGAGGACUAGGAAUGGCGACUAUGCCCUGCAUGUGGAGAGAUCCAGGGCAUGCACACUAGCACGGUAUAGAGUUGCACACUCACACACACACACAUGCAUGCGAGCGCACACGCGCGCACACACACACAUACACGUGCACAAUUAUGUAUGGACAGUCUGUCUAGUUCUCCUCAUCGACCAAGGGUGAUUUUGCAACAUUUUAGCCACCAUUUAAUUAAUAAUAUGUGUUUUUGGUAUGGUAUGUGUAUUUCCUGAUAUUAUUGAAACAUUGCAAAAAAAAGAAAAUACACUCUAAGAUUGGUUGGGCAAAUGAAUCAGGCCGAUAUUUGCCGUUGGUCGACCUCUAAUUUCAAACAUUAACAUUCUGACUUACAGCCCAACUUCACUCAUACACAUUUUCUCUAAAUAAAGCAGUUUUUAUUGUGGAAAAACUGUUUUCUUCUUGAAA